RNAcentral lists this transfer RNA (72 nucleotides) under Capsicum annuum. It matches the Rfam family "tRNA". Rfam says of the family: Transfer RNA (tRNA) molecules are approximately 80 nucleotides in length. Their secondary structure includes four short double-helical elements and three loops (D, anti-codon, and T loops). Lineage: Eukaryota; Viridiplantae; Streptophyta; Magnoliopsida; Solanales; Solanaceae. The record is from Rfam by way of RNAcentral.
GGUUCCAUGGUCUAGUGGUCAGGAUAAUAGACUCUGAAUCCAGUAACCCAUGUUCGAAUCUCAGUGGAACCU